Molecule: ribosomal RNA, 469 nt
Filed under: uncultured bacterium
Lineage: Bacteria
Description: partial 16S ribosomal RNA
Rfam family: Bacterial small subunit ribosomal RNA
Source: RNAcentral
GGACGAACGCUGGCGGCGUGCUUAACACAUGCAAGUCGAACGGAAAGGCCCUGCUUUUGUGGGGUGCUCGAGUGGCGAACGGGUGAGUAACACGUGAGUAACCUGCCCUUGACUUUGGGAUAACUUCAGGAAACUGGGGCUAAUACCGGAUAGGAGCUCCUGCUGCAUGGUGGGGGUUGGAAAGUUUCGGCGGUUGGGGAUGGACUCGCGGCUUAUCAGCUUGUUGGUGGGGUAGUGGCUUACCAAGGCUUUGACGGGUAGCCGGCCUGCGAGGGUGACCGGCCACAUUGGGACUGAGAUACGGACCAGACUCCUACGGGAGGCAGCAGUGGGGAAUAUUGCACAAUGGGCGGAAGCCUGAUGCAGCAACGCCGCGUGCGGGAUGACGGCCUUCGGGUUAUAAACCGCUUUCGCCUGUGACGAAGCGUGAGUGACGGUAAUGGGUAAAGAAGCACCGGCUAACUACGUG